Molecule: ribosomal RNA, 442 nt
Filed under: Lactonifactor longoviformis
Lineage: Bacteria; Bacillati; Bacillota; Clostridia; Eubacteriales; Clostridiaceae
Description: bacterial SSU rRNA
Rfam family: Bacterial small subunit ribosomal RNA
Source: RNAcentral
UCCUACGGGAGGCAGCAGUGGGGAAUAUUGCACAAUGGGGGAAACCCUGAUGCAGCGACGCCGCGUGAAGGAAGAAGUAUUUCGGUAUGUAAACUUCUAUCAGCAGGGAAGAAAAUGACGGUACCUGACUAAGAAGCCCCGGCUAAUUACGUGCCAGCAGCCGCGGUAAUACGUAAGGGGCAAGCGUUAUCCGGAUUUACUGGGUGUAAAGGGAGCGUAGACGGCAGUGCAAGUCUGAUGUGAAAGCCCGGGGCUCAACCCCGGGACUGCAUUGGAAACUGUGCAGCUAGAGUGUCGGAGAGGUAAGUGGAAUUCCUAGUGUAGCGGUGAAAUGCGUAGAUAUUAGGAGGAACACCAGUGGCGAAGGCGGCUUACUGGACGAUAACUGACGUUGAGGCUCGAAAGCGUGGGGAGCAAACAGGAUUAGAUACCCUGGUAGUCC